CCCUGCUGCAGCAACCGGAGCUGGAGUCGGAUACCGAACGCACCCUCGCCAUGGACUCGGCCCUCAGCGAUCCGCAUAACGGCAGCGCCGAGGCAGGCGGCCCCACCAACAGCACUACGCGGCCGCCUUCCACGCCCGAGGGCAUCGCGCUGGCCUACGGCAGCCUCCUGCUCAUGGCGCUGCUGCCCAUCUUCUUCGGCGCCCUGCGCUCCGUACGCUGCGCCCGCGGCAAGAAUGCUUCAGACAUGCCUGAAACAAUCACCAGCCGGGAUGCCGCCCGCUUCCCCAUCAUCGCCAGCUGCACACUCUUGGGGCUCUACCUCUUUUUCAAAAUAUUCUCCCAGGAGUACAUCAACCUCCUGCUGUCCAUGUAUUUCUUCGUGCUGGGAAUCCUGGCCCUGUCCCACACCAUCAGGUCAGAAGGCAUCUCUCUGCAACAUUUGAAGCAGCUUUCUCGGGAACCAGUACAGGGUCUUGGAUGAGAACAUGACUUUUGGCAUCAUUCAGAGCCAGCCCCUUCAUGAAUAAGUUUUUUCCAGCCAGCUUUCCAAAUCGACAGUACCAGCUGCUCUUCACACAGGGUUCUGGGGAAAACAAGGAAGAGAUCAUCAAUUACGAAUUUGACACCAAGGACCUGGUGUGCCUGGGCCUGAGCAGCAUCGUUGGCGUCUGGUACCUGCUGAGGAAGCACUGGAUUGC
Molecule: small RNA, 699 nt
Filed under: Pan troglodytes (chimpanzee)
Lineage: Eukaryota; Metazoa; Chordata; Mammalia; Primates; Hominidae
Description: processed transcript
Source: RNAcentral